Molecule: ribosomal RNA, 503 nt
Filed under: uncultured bacterium
Lineage: Bacteria
Description: partial 16S ribosomal RNA
Rfam family: Bacterial small subunit ribosomal RNA
Source: RNAcentral
AUUGAACGCUGGCGGCAGGCUUAACACAUGCAAGUCGAGCGGGGUGAUGGUGCUUGCACUAUCACUUAGCGGCGGACGGGUGAGUAAUGCUUAGGAAUCUGCCUAUUAGUGGGGGACAACAUCUCGAAAGGGAUGCUAAUACCGCAUACGUCCUACGGGAGAAAGCAGGGGAUCACUUGUGACCUUGCGCUAAUAGAUGAGCCUAAGUCGGAUUAGCGAGUUGGGGGGGUAAAGGCCUACCAAGGCGACGAUCUGUAGCGGGUCUUAGAGGAUGAGCCGCCACACUGGGACUGAGACACGGCCCAGACUCCUACGGGAGGCAGCAGUGGGGAAUAUUGGACAAUGGGGGGAACCCUGAUCCAGCCAUGCCGCGUGUGUGAAGAAGGCCUUAUGGUUGUAAAGCACUUUAAGCGAGGAGGAGGCUCUUUUGGUUAAUACCCAAGAUGAGUGGACGUUACUCGCAGAAUAAGCACCGGCUAACUCUGUGCCAGCCGCCGCCGUAA